GGGUGCUGAGGUGGGUGGAGGGGGCAUGGGAGAUGAAGUGGGUGCUGAGGUGGAGGGGGCAUUGGAGAUGAAGUGGGUGCUGAGGUGGGUGGAGGGGGGCAUGGCAGAUGAAGUGGGCACUGAUGUGAGUUAAGGGGGAGAUGGGUGCUUAGGUGGGUGCUGAGGUGGAGAGGGCAUGGGAGAUGAAGUGGGUGCUGAGGUGGGUGGAGGGGGCAUGGGGCUGAGGUGGAGGGGGCAUGGAAGAUGAAGUGGG
This is a non-coding RNA of Pelobates cultripes (western spadefoot toad), 253 nucleotides long. Lineage: Eukaryota; Metazoa; Chordata; Amphibia; Anura; Pelobatidae. The record is from the annotation of a GenBank genome assembly.